This is a long non-coding RNA of Peromyscus eremicus (cactus mouse), 660 nucleotides long. RefSeq lists it as uncharacterized. The record is from RefSeq and is a predicted model, not a curated record. NCBI's taxonomy places the organism in Eukaryota, Metazoa, Chordata, Mammalia, Rodentia, Cricetidae. The transcript is spliced from 3 exons.
GUUAGUCACCCAGUUUCCAGCACUAUCCCAGCAGUCCUUGCUCUCUAAAAGAAGUUUAACCAUGUGCAGGCUGACUAUCUCCUGUCACAGGUUACAGUCACACAUCAGGUCCACUUACUCAUCUAUAGUAAAUGUCUUAUUGAGUAAGUCAACACAUGUCAAUGUAGAGGAAAGUCACUACAUAAAUCAGCAUGUUAAGUGUUAGAAUAAUUCAUGGGCUGUAUUUUGGAUGUGGUAUUUAUUUGACAACUCUGUGAACAGAUGACUUAAUCAAAACAGCCAGAGGAAAUCACCUCUGGGAGAAUUCAGCUACAGGAGGAAAAGUGGUGUGGUAACAACAGAAGAAUAAAAGGAUACAAAGGGUGAUGGACCAUAACCAUCAUGAGUUCGAGGCCACAGCAUGACUUAGGACAGGUCAACAGUUAAUGGCCUCAAAUGUGGAACACACAGGAAAUAACCUUGGCAACAUUUGACACCCAGUAGCACCGGCAUAGCUGCUGCCUGGGCAGAACUGGACCCAAAUCGAGGCAGAGGAUAAAGGAAGAGGCAAAGACAUAAUCCCGCCGAGGAGAGAGAUGGACAAGCACCAGUUGCUGGUGAAACAACAACAAAGGCACUCAUUUUGGUUGAGGGAAAUAAACACCUUCAGACUACCAGAAA